Molecule: ribosomal RNA, 773 nt
Filed under: uncultured Neocallimastigales
Lineage: Eukaryota; Fungi; Neocallimastigomycota; Neocallimastigomycetes; Neocallimastigales
Description: partial large subunit ribosomal RNA
Rfam family: Eukaryotic large subunit ribosomal RNA
Source: RNAcentral
UACUAGAGUAGCACUCGCAUAUCAAUAAGCGGAGGAAAAGAAACUAACAAGGAUUCCCCUAGUAACGGCGAGUGAAGCGGGAAGAGCUCAAAUUUGAAAUCUUAAAGGGUUUCCCUUUACGAAUUGUAGUUUAAAGAAGUGUUUUCUGUUGAGGUUUUGGUAAAAGUUCUUUGGAAUAGGACAUCAUAGAGGGUGAGAAUCCCGUAUUUGACCUUUACUUUCAACUUUGUGAUACACUUUCAAAGAGUCGGAUUGUUUGGGAAUGCAGUCCAAAAUGGGUGGUAAAUUUCAUCUAAAGCUAAAUAUUGGCGAGAGACCGAUAGCGAACAAGUACCGUGAGGGAAAGAUGAAAAGAACUUUGAAAAGAGAGUUAAACAGUACGUGAAAUUGUCAAAAGGGAAGCGUUUGACACCAGUGUUGUUUUUCUGAAAAUCAAUUAAAGAACUGUUUAUGCUAAGCUGUUUAGACUUUAUCAGCUAUCUGUUUAGUUUUGAGCUUUUCUUUAAUGCACUUUCAGUUAACAAGUCAACAUCAAUUUCUUUUGCUGUAAAAAAGCUUGAGGAAGGUGGCUUGAGAUUCGUCUUAAGUGUUUAUAGCCUCUUGCCUAUGCAGUCGGAGAGAUUGAGGUCUGCAGCGUAGAUCCUUCGGGGCUAAAUGCAUUUGUGCUAAGUUAUAGCAUUUUAUAGACAACUUGUUGACUAUGAUUUGUCUUGUAGCUUACUCGCUUAUGUUAUUUUACCUACGCUUAGGAUGUUGAACUCUAUCACACACAG